This 1240-nucleotide long non-coding RNA is filed under the name Homo sapiens (human). RNAcentral's name for it is "HSALNT0198449". Lineage: Eukaryota; Metazoa; Chordata; Mammalia; Primates; Hominidae. The record is from RNAcentral.
CGAGUAGCUGUGGCUACAGGUUCCCACCACCACACCCAGCUAAUUUUUUGUAUUUUUAGUAGAGACGCAGUUUCACUGUGUUAGCCAGGAUGGUCUUGAUCUUCUGACCUCCUGAUCCACCUGCCUCAGCCUCCCAAAGAGCUGGGAUUACAGGUGUGAGCCACCGUGCUCGGCCACACCAGCACCAUUUCUUGAAGAGAUUAUUUUCCUCCAAAGAAUGACCUUGACAGAGCUGCGAAGGUCUGCUGUGGCUUUGCUCCAGAAGUUAGCGAGACUGUGAACCACCAGAGGAACAAACGACUCUGGAUGCGCCACCUGUAAGAGCUGUAACAGUCACUGCGAAGGUCCGCUGCUUUGCUCCUGAAGUCAGCAAGACCACGAACCCAUGGGAAGGAAGAAACUCCAGACAGCAUAUUUAAGAACUGUAACACUCACUGGGGUGGCUUCAUUCUUGAAGUCAGAGAGACCAGGAACCUGCCGGAAGGAACCAGUUCCGGACACAGUAUCGCUCUUAUGCCUUUGCAUCCUCAUGGCUUAGCUCCCACUUAUGAGUGAGAACACACAAUGUUUGGUUUUCUAUUCCUGAGUUACUUCACUUAGAAUAAUAGUCUCCGGUUCCAUCCAGGUUGCUGCAAAUGCCAUUAAUUCAUUCCUUUUUUUAUGGCAGAGUAGUAGUCUUUUUUUUUCUUUUGAGACCGAGUCUUGCUCUGUUGCCCAGGUUGGAGUGCAGUGGCACGAUCUUGGCUCACUGCAAAGCUCCACCUCCCAGUUCACACCAUUCUCCUGCCUCAGUCUCCCAAGUAGCUGGGACUACAGGCGCCCGCCACCUUGCCUGGCUAAUUUUUUGUAUAUUUAGUAGAGUUGGGGCUUCACCCUGUUAGCCAGGCUGGUCUCUAUAUCCUGACCAUGGCUGACUAGUAUUCUUGUGUGUGUGUGUGUGUGUGUGUGUGUGUGUGUGUAUACACCACAAUUUCUUUAUCCACUUGUUGAUUGGUGGGCAUUUGGGCUGGUUCCAUAUUUUCGGAAUUGUGAAUUGUGCUGCUAUAAACAUGCAUGUAGAAGUAUGUUUUUCGUAUAGUCACUUCUUUUCCUCUGGGUAGAUACCCACUAGUGCGAUUGCUGAAUCAAUCUACUUUUAGUUCUUUAAGGAAUCUCCACACUGUUUUCCGUAGUGGUUGUACUAGUUUACAUUCCCACCAGCAGUGUAGAUGUGUUCCAUAAUCACCACGUCUAUGCCAAC